UACGGAGGGAGCUAGCGUUGUUCGGAAUUACUGGGCGUAAAGCGCACGUAGGCGGUUAUUCAAGUCAGAGGUGAAAGCCCGGGGCUCAACUCCGGAACUGCCUUUGAAACUAGAUAGCUUGAAUCCAGGAGAGGUGAGUGGAAUUCCGAGUGUAGAGGUGAAAUUCGUAGAUAUUCGGAAGAACACCAGUGGCGAAGGCGGCUCACUGGACUGGUAUUGACGCUGAGGUGCGAAAGCCAGGGGAGCAAACGGG
This 253-nucleotide ribosomal RNA is filed under the name uncultured bacterium. RNAcentral's name for it is "partial 16S ribosomal RNA". It matches the Rfam family "Bacterial small subunit ribosomal RNA", at positions 524 to 776 of the family's 1533-position model. The record is from RNAcentral.